Molecule: ribosomal RNA, 482 nt
Filed under: uncultured bacterium
Lineage: Bacteria
Description: partial 16S ribosomal RNA
Rfam family: Bacterial small subunit ribosomal RNA
Source: RNAcentral
GAUGAACGCUGGCGGUGUGCUUAACACAUGCAAGUCGAACGGUGAAGCAGAGCUUGCUCUGUGGAUCAGUGGCGAACGGGUGAGUAACACGUGAGCAAUCUGCCCCUGACUCUGGGAUAAGCGCUGGAAACGGCGUCUAAUACCGGAUACGAGCUGCGAAGGCAUCUUCAGCAGCUGGAAAGAAUUUCGGUCAGGGAUGAGCUCGCGGCCUAUCAGCUUGUUGGUGAGGUAACGGCUCACCAAGGCGUCGACGGGUAGCCGGCCUGAGAGGGUGACCGGCCACACUGGGACUGAGACACGGCCCAGACUCCUACGGGAGGCAGCAGUGGGGAAUAUUGCACAAUGGGCGAAAGCCUGAUGCAGCAACGCCGCGUGAGGGACGACGGCCUUCGGGUUGUAAACCUCUUUUAGCAGGAAAGAAGCGAAAGUGACGGUACCUGCAGAAAAAGCGCCGGCUAACUACGUGCCAGCAGCCGCGGUAA